Non-coding RNA from Delphinapterus leucas (beluga whale), 1437 nucleotides. NCBI's taxonomy places the organism in Eukaryota, Metazoa, Chordata, Mammalia, Artiodactyla, Monodontidae. The record is from RefSeq and is a predicted model, not a curated record.
ACCCGGCUCCGCCUGGUGCCGGUGCUGGUAUUGGUGUUUCCCGGCUCGGGGCCCUGGCGUCCUCGCGUGACCCGGGAGACUCCGCUGGGCGGCUCGGGGCGGUGCUGGCCCCUGUCCGGGCGCGACUGCCCCAAGGUGAGCCUGACCUUCUCGCUCCAGCGAGUGGGCCUGCGCUCUCCGACCCACCGAAUCCUGGGUUACCCGGGCGGAAGAGCUCGGCCCCCUCGGCCUGUCGCGGCCCCUGGGCUCCCGCCACCGGCCCAGGGCCCGUGAGGGGACGGGGCGCCGGGGAGGGGGGCCUGCGUGUCUCCCCGCCGGGCCUGCAGGCCGCCGGCCAGGGGCCUGGCAAGCCUGAAGGCGCUGGCGGCCCAGGCUCAGAUGAGGGAAGGGAAAGAAGGCAGUUAAGGCUGGGUCGGUGGGGAGGAGGUCGAAAGCGCCGCGACCACCGCAUUUUUCAGCUCGAACCUGAGCUCUCUAGUAGGUUAGCACGAGCCCCCUAAGGAAAGCAGUGUCGGGGGUCCUGAUGCUGUGAAGACGGUGAGUCACGGGCAAUGGAGCCGCAGCGCGCAAGUAUUCAAGUGUGAGGAGCGGGAGUUGCAGGUAGAGUAAAUACGUAAGACUUCUAGGCUUCCUGUUGGGUCCAGGAAUCUCUGGUAUGAGUAACAGCUUGGAGGUGCUACCGCUGAGUCACUAGAGGGCUUUUGAGUUGCGAUUGCGUAAAGAGGCGUGUCAGCACCCUUUUCGAGGGCGCCCAAGCAGAACUCACGCUACGGGCAAGCGAAAUCUGCGCUCCGUCGUUUGUAAUGGUAGGAACUGAAAGAAAACGUCGAACAGCUGGUAAGCAUUACGGAUUUUCAGUUUCCAUGGCGCUGACCCGGUAUCUGAAAGUUAUGGCUGAGACGGGCUAAGACGUGUUACCACUUGAUUCUUAAGUUUACACUCCUGCCGAUCCUGGAGAGGUCUUGUUUUUGGCGAGUGAUUUUUAUUUUUUUUUUUUUUUUAAGGGUGGAGUUUUAUUACACCACCCCAACAAGGUACUACUGCAGGGAACCGAAAAUUAAGAGGCUAAACCGUUGUUAUGCCUUGGGGGAAGGUGUGAACUGGCAAGAUGAAGAAAGGAGCUGAUUUUAUCAGGCACGGCAUCGUAACCAGCAUAAAGAAAUAAUCUCACCUCCUACAUCACAAAGAAGUGGAAGCUGUGAGAAAGAACUCCGCUCUCCUGCCAAGUAAUCUGCAAACCUAUUGAUGCCUACUGUUGGUACCCCCUCCAGUCACUCUUCUGUCCCUUCUACUGAAGGGAGUGGUGAGCUCUGGACUCCAUCCCACCAUCUCAUUCAGUCAUUCCGUGGGACCCCUUGGCUGGGCUUCCCUGGUGGCGCAGUGGUUGAGAGUCCGCCUGCCGAUGCAGGGGACAUGGGUUCAUGCCCGGUUCCGGGA